This 447-nucleotide ribosomal RNA is filed under the name uncultured bacterium. Its description in RNAcentral is "partial 16S ribosomal RNA". It matches the Rfam family "Bacterial small subunit ribosomal RNA", at positions 329 to 794 of the family's 1533-position model. The record is from RNAcentral.
AGCCAGACUCCUACGGGAGGCAGCAGUGGGGAAUAUUGCACAAUGGGGGAAACCCUGAUGCAGCGACGCCGCGUGAAGGAAGAAGUAUUUCGGUAUGUAAACUUCUAUCAGCAGGGAAGAAAAUGACGGUACCUGACUAAGAAGCCCCGGCUAACUACGUGCCAGCAGCCGCGGUAAUACGUAGGGGGCAAGCGUUAUCCGGAUUUAUUGGGUUUAAAGGGUGCGCAGGCGGCCGGUGAAGUCAGCGGUAAACGCCCGGGGCUCACCCCCGGCGAGCCGUUGAAACUGGCGGGCUGGAGUUGGAGAGAAGUACGCGGAAUGCGCGGUGUAGCGGUGAAAUGCUUAGAUAUCGCGCAGAACCCCGAUUGCGAAGGCAGCGUACCGGCUCCACACUGACGCUGAGGCACGAAAGCGUGGGUAUCGAACAGGAUUAGAUACCCCCGUAAA